UACGAAGGGGGCGAGCGUUGUUCGGAGUUACUGGGCGUAAAGGGCGCGUAGGCGGCGAUCCAAGUUAGGCGUGAAAGCCCCGGGCUUAACCUGGGAAUUGCGCUUAAGACUGGACUGCUUGAGUGCGGGAGAGGUGAGUGGAAUUCCCAGUGUAGAGGUGAAAUUCGUAGAUAUUGGGUGGAACACCGGUGGCGAAAGCGGCUCACUGGCUCGGUUCUGACGCUGAGGCGCGAAAGCGUGGGGAGCAAACAGG
RNAcentral lists this ribosomal RNA (253 nucleotides) under uncultured bacterium. Its description in RNAcentral is "partial 16S ribosomal RNA". It matches the Rfam family "Bacterial small subunit ribosomal RNA", at positions 524 to 776 of the family's 1533-position model. The record is from RNAcentral.